RNAcentral lists this small RNA (29 nucleotides) under Bombyx mori (domestic silkworm). Its description in RNAcentral is "ovarian small RNA-33526". The record is from RNAcentral. Lineage: Eukaryota; Metazoa; Arthropoda; Insecta; Lepidoptera; Bombycidae.
UGCAGUAAAAAGAGUUUGGCACACGCCGA